Molecule: ribosomal RNA, 253 nt
Filed under: uncultured prokaryote
Description: partial 16S ribosomal RNA
Rfam family: Bacterial small subunit ribosomal RNA
Source: RNAcentral
GACAGAGGGUGCAAACGUUGUUCGGAAUUACUGGGCGUAAUGCGCGUGUAGGCGGCAAUACAAGUCGGAUGUGAAAUCCCGGGGCCCAACCCCGGAACUGCAUUCGAAACUGCCUCGCUAGAGUCCCGGAGAGGAAGGCGGAAUUCCCGGUGUAGAGGUGAAAUUCGUAGAUAUCGGGAGGAACACCAGCGGCGAAGGCGGCCUUCUGGACGGUGACUGACGCUGAGACGCGAAAGCGUGGGGAGCAAACAGG